GUUUACAGCCAUGCUACCUUAAAGAAGCCUCAUCCUGUCUGAUCUCAGAAGCCAAGCAGGGUCAGGCCUGGUUAGUACUUGGAUGAGAGACCACGUAGGUAGACCAGGUGCUGUAGGUG
Molecule: ribosomal RNA, 119 nt
Organism: Pteropus vampyrus (large flying fox)
Lineage: Eukaryota; Metazoa; Chordata; Mammalia; Chiroptera; Pteropodidae
Source: Ensembl